UCUUUAUGUCUUUGUCUCUGUUUGACUGGGCUGGAGGGUUCGAGCCAUGCUGCUCCACCUACACACAAACACAAAAAGAGUCAUACUAAAAUGUCUGGCUCUGCUGUGAAAUACUCAUGUUUCACUUUCAAAUGAGACAUAUCAACUUUUUAGAUGAAUGGGUGAAUUCUAGGAUGAUACUAGUAUUAGAUUAUGGGUUACCAAUGAAGUUUUAACCUGCUGAAGAGAGGAAACAUGUCACAAUGAUUACGCAGCCAUCAGCUACUACGAGGGAUGUAGGUAAGUACUUUCUUACUUGAGAUAAAAGCAAUACUUAAGUACUACAAGUAAAAUGACAGAUUUUU
Sander lucioperca (pikeperch) is the source of this 344-nucleotide long non-coding RNA. RefSeq lists it as uncharacterized. The transcript is spliced from 2 exons. NCBI's taxonomy places the organism in Eukaryota, Metazoa, Chordata, Actinopteri, Perciformes, Percidae. The record is from RefSeq and is a predicted model, not a curated record.